This 443-nucleotide ribosomal RNA is filed under the name uncultured bacterium. RNAcentral describes it as "partial 16S ribosomal RNA". It matches the Rfam family "Bacterial small subunit ribosomal RNA", at positions 338 to 795 of the family's 1533-position model. The record is from RNAcentral.
CCUACGGGCGGCAGCAGUGGGGAAUAGUGGGCAAUGGGCGCAAGCCUGACCCAGCAACGCGGCGUGAAGGAAGCAGGCACUCGGGUUGUAAACGUCUUUUAACAGGGAAGAAGAAAUGGACGGUACCUGUUGAAUACGCCACGGCUAACUACGUGCCAGCAGCCGCGGUAUAACGUAGGUGGCAAGCGUUAAACGGAUUUACUGGGUGUAAAGGGCGUGUAGGCGGGGGAGCAAGUCAGACGUGAAAUUCCGGGGCUCAACCCUGGAACUGCGUUUGAAACUGUUCUUCUUGAGUGAUGGGGAGGCAGGCGGAAUUCCGGGUGUAGCGGUGAAAUGCGUAGAUAUACGGAGGAACACCAGUGGCGAAGGCGGCCUGCUGGACAUUAACUGACGCUGAGGCGCGAAAGCGUGGGGAGCAAACAGGAUUAGAUACCCUAGUAGUC